CUUAGGGCCUCGAUAAGUUGCUGAGGCUGGCUUUUGAACUCCUGAUCCUCCUGCCUCAGCCUUCCCAGUGGAGAAACAGGGAUUUCUUGAGAAGAAGCCUAACCAAGAAGUGGCUAGCCAGCAAAUCCCACAGGUGGCCUCAAUGCAAGUGACCGAGCAUCAACACUAAUUCUUCAGUUUCUCAAGGGAAAUCAAUGGCAGAAGUUCAACAAGAAAAGCUGCAUCUGCGACUCCAGAUAGUCACUUUUUGCUAAGAAAAGAGCUACAAAACAGGUUUUUCUGGGAAGCCUGUCAACAUUCCAGAUAGCAAUUCUACUGUAUUGCCAUCCUCAAUAUCCAGGUUCUGAGGCUGGAUUUUAACAGAGAGGAUGUGGGAACCCUAGCAUCUUUCAAAUUGUACCAGGGCCUCAGCAUUAUGAAGGAUAAUUCCUGACAACUUGGAGAAAACACUACGGAGUUGCUAUGAAUGGUUAUCUUUGGAGGGGUUGUAUGUCAUUGGGCAACGUCCUGGAAGAUCACUCUCCACUAUUUUCCACCCUGCUGUCUGCCAUGAAAUGGCUCUCUGUAGACAGCAUCCAUGGCUCCCAGUUAGGUUGGAGUAAAGGAAGCAGCCAAGGGAACAUCGAGUCUGCUGAGCGUGGUACCCAGCUCCAAACAGAAACUGAAGAUUUCUAAAUGUAACAAAAAUAGAAUUUUUAUCUUAAUAUAGUAAAAAACAACCACAGUGGGAUGCAAACAGAAAUGCCUUUAAGAACAAAAAGCCAAUCUUUGAAUGAAUAUUAAAAUGGUUGAAAGGAAAAUGCAAACAUGAUUCUAAAUGCAAAGUAAUGAGGCGUAUCAAAUCUAAUUGAAAACACAGAGGAGAUUUAUAGAGGCAGAGAUGAAUUAUGUGGAGUGAAAUUCUAAUUUAUAGCAAGGCUUGGUGUUUCUAAGACUUUCUGUGAACGUAAGUCAGGUAGUCUACAUCCCAGUCCCAGGAGAGCUGUACAAUUAUUCACUGUUCACACAAAAGCCAAGUGAGAUUCUGAAGGUGACAUAACUUCCUCAAGGCCACAGAGCUGAAGUCACAUAUCAGAAUCUUCCCUGUCAGGAUUUGAAACAGAAUUAUAUAUCAACACAUGGCCUCAUGUGUGUACCCACUCACUCACUGAAUUUGUUGACAAGUGAUGUAAGCAUCAAUGACAUACUAUAUUAAUCUUAGAUUAAUAAAUUUUCCUGGGAAUUUAGUAUAUGGAUAUUAUGGGGGUUGAUAAAUUAAUUUUUAAAUAAAUGUUAGGGAAAUAUGAUUGCUUUUGAUGCUUUAUGUGGCAUAAAUUAAAAAGUUUUACCUAUCCAAUGCAGAAUAAAUUCUAUGAUGGAACAGGGGAAAUAUAACUGCUUAUUUCAUAUUUGAUUUCAGAGCUUCAUCUAAAUAUCUUUUUUUUUUUUAAAAAAGACAUUCUAGGUUCUAUUAUUUAAAACAUUGGAAGAAAAAUGAAAGCUUUCAGCGAUCUGUUAAAUUUCAGGCUAGAGCACAUUCCAUAAAGUACAAGGAAGAGGAUCAAAGACAAAUGGGGGAAGGCUCUGGUACCAUCGAUCAAAUAUGUUAGUUCAGAAAGUGAAGUUUGUAAAGGAGAAAUUUACUACAGUGAGUAGAGUUGAUGCUUCUUGUAGAUGGAAUAAUGCUUCCUCCCCGCAAAGCCAUUCUCAUCCUAAUCUCCAGAGUCUGUGAACAUGUUACCCUACAUGAAAAGAGACGCAGCAAGAAUUAUUAAGUCAAACAUAUGGAGAGAAAGAUUGUCCUGCAGUAUGUGACUAGGCCAAGUGUAAAUGCAAGUGUCCUUCAAUGGACAAGAGGGAAGUAGGAGAAUCUGAGUGAGAGAAGGACAGAAGCCGAGGUUGGACUGGGGAGAUUUGAAGACGCCAUGCUGCUUGCUUUGGAGAUUGAGGCAGAGACCACAAGCCAAGGAAUGUAGGUGACUGGUAGAAAAGGCCAAGACUCCUCUCCUAGCGAAACUCUGCCAGUGUACUUGAACUUCUGACCUCAAGAAGUGUCAGAUAAUAAAUUUAUAAUGUUUGAGGCUGAAA
Marmota flaviventris (yellow-bellied marmot) is the source of this 2067-nucleotide long non-coding RNA. RefSeq lists it as uncharacterized. Lineage: Eukaryota; Metazoa; Chordata; Mammalia; Rodentia; Sciuridae. The record is from RefSeq and is a predicted model, not a curated record.